GAUGAACGCUGGCGGCGUGCCUAAUACAUGCAAGUCGAGCGAACAGACGAGGAGCUUGCUCCUCUGACGUUAGCGGCGGACGGGUGAGUAACACGUGGAUAACCUACCUAUAAGACUGGGAUAACUUCGGGAAACCGGAGCUAAUACCGGAUAAUAUAUUGAACCGCAUGGUUCAAUAGUGAAAGACGGUUUUGCUGUCACUUAUAGAUGGAUCCGCGCCGCAUUAGCUAGUUGGUAAGGUAACGGCUUACCAAGGCAACGAUGCGUAGCCGACCUGAGAGGGUGAUCGGCCACACUGGAACUGAGACACGGUCCAGACUCCUACGGGAGGCAGCAGUAGGGAAUCUUCCGCAAUGGGCGAAAGCCUGACGGAGCAACGCCGCGUGAAUGAUGAAGGUCUUCGGAUCGUAAAACUCUGUUAUUAGGGAAGAACAAAUGUGUAAGUAACUAUGCACGUCUUGACGGUACCUAAUCAGAAAGCCACAGCUAACUACGUG
This 497-nucleotide ribosomal RNA is filed under the name uncultured bacterium. Its description in RNAcentral is "partial 16S ribosomal RNA". It matches the Rfam family "Bacterial small subunit ribosomal RNA", at positions 28 to 507 of the family's 1533-position model. The record is from RNAcentral.